This 507-nucleotide ribosomal RNA is filed under the name uncultured bacterium. RNAcentral describes it as "bacterial SSU rRNA". It matches the Rfam family "Bacterial small subunit ribosomal RNA", at positions 30 to 518 of the family's 1533-position model. The record is from RNAcentral.
CGAACGCUGGCGGCGUGCUUAACACAUGCAAGUCGAACGCGAAAGGGACUUCGGUCCUGAGUAAAGUGGCGCACGGGUGAGUAACGCGUAGAUAACCUGUCUUCAUGUCUGGAAUAAUACGCCGAAAGGGUACUAAUACCGGAUAUUCUUGCUUUUCAUAAGUUAUGCAAGCAAAGGUGGCCUCUGCAUAUGCUACUGCAUGAAGAGGGGUCUGCGUACCAUUAGCUAGUAGGUGGGGUAAUGGCCUACCUAGGCGACGAUGGUUAGCGGGUCUGAGAGGAUGAUCCGCCACACUGGCACUGGAACACGGGCCAGACUCCUACGGGAGGCAGCAGUGAGGAAUAUUGCGCAAUGGGGGAAACCCUGACGCAGCGACGCCGCGUGAGUGAGGAAGGCCUUCGGGUCGUAAAGCUCUGUCAAGAGGAAAGAAGUGUACAAUGGCUAAUACCUGUUGUAUUUGACGGUACCUCUAAAGGAAGCACCGGCUAACUCCGUGCCAGCCGCCGC